Molecule: ribosomal RNA, 491 nt
Filed under: uncultured bacterium
Lineage: Bacteria
Description: bacterial SSU rRNA
Rfam family: Bacterial small subunit ribosomal RNA
Source: RNAcentral
AUUGAACGCUGGCGGCAUGCCUUACACAUGCAAGUCGAACGGCAGCACGGGAGCAAUCCUGGUGGCGAGUGGCGAACGGGUGAGUAAUAUAUCGGAACGUGCCCAGUCGUGGGGGAUAACGUAGCGAAAGUUACGCUAAUACCGCAUAAGCCCUGAGGGGGAAAGUGGGGGGACCGCAAGGCCUCACGCGAAUGGAGCGGCCGAUGUCAGAUUAGCUAGUUGGUGGGGUAAAGGCCCACCAAGGCGACGAUCUGUAGCGGGUCUGAGAGGAUGAUCCGCCACACUGGGACUGAGACACGGCCCAGACUCCUACGGGAGGCAGCAGUGGGGAAUAUUGGACAAUGGGCGAAAGCCUGAUCCAGCAAUGCCGCGUGAGUGAUGAAGGCCUUAGGGUUGUAAAGCUCUUUCAGCCGGGAAGAAAACGCACUCUCUAACAUAGGGUGUGGAUGACGGUACGGACCAAGAAGCACCGGCUAACUACGUGCCAGCAG